This 603-nucleotide unclassified non-coding RNA is filed under the name Hevea brasiliensis (rubber tree). The record is from RNAcentral. Lineage: Eukaryota; Viridiplantae; Streptophyta; Magnoliopsida; Malpighiales; Euphorbiaceae.
AAAAAAUAAGAAUAACAAGCUGACUCUAGUCUAUACCAUGUUAGACGUGUCCCCUUCAACAAUGUCUGUAAAGAACCAUUGAAAUUGUCAUGCCAGAACACCUUCAAUGGAUGAAGUUGUUCAAUAAAAUAAAACCUCAUCCGCUCCAAUUAUGCUUGAAUAAGAUACCGCAAUUGGCAGAGAGCAAUCCCCUGACUCAAACUAUAUUCAGAAGCUAUGCCAGUAGUGGUUCGUCUUGCAAUACCUUGAGCUGCCUCUUUGCAUAUACUGUAAAAAUUAUAGUGGUGGCCACUGUUACACAGAAACCAAUGACAUUGAAAACAAUUUGUGGAGCUGAAAGUGAGUGCUGAUCAUUUGAAGCAUCUGCCAAGGCCUGUAUAAGGAUGCCAGUGUAGAUUGCAACAAAAAUCUCUGGCACCAUUCCUACCAAUGAUCCUAAGAUGUAAGGACCAUACUUAACAUUUGAGGCAACAGCACAAUAAUUAUAUAAAAUAUAUGGAAAUGGAGAAAUCCUGAUUAAUGUUACUGCUCGAAACUGAUGAAACCAGUUUCCUUCACCAGCUGCUCUCAAAACGGCAGCUUUCUUUGGAUAUUUUUUCAACC